CAGCCGCCGCGGGAAUACGAGGGGGGCGAGCGUUGUUCGGAAUUAUUGGGCGUAAAGGGUGCGUAGGCGGUUCGGUAAGUCUUAUGUGAAAUCUUCGGGCUCAACUCGAAGUCUGCAUGAGAAACUGCCGGGCUUGAGUGUGGGAGAGGUGAGUGGAAUUUCCGGUGUAGCGGUGAAAUGCGUAGAUAUCGGAAGGAACACCUGUGGCGAAAGCGGCUCACUGGACCACAACUGACGCUGAUGCACGAAAGCUAGGGGAGCAAACAGGAUUAGAUACCCCCGUAGUCCCUGUCUCUUAUAC
Molecule: ribosomal RNA, 301 nt
Filed under: uncultured bacterium
Lineage: Bacteria
Description: partial 16S ribosomal RNA
Rfam family: Bacterial small subunit ribosomal RNA
Source: RNAcentral